UACGUAGGGCGCAAGCGUUGUCCGGAAUUAUUGGGCGUAAAGAGCUCGUAGGCGGCCUGUCGCGUCCGCUGUGAAAUCCCGGGGCUUAACCCCGGGCGUGCAGUGGAUACGGGCUGGCUAGAGGCAGGCAGGGGAGAACGGAAUUCCCGGUGUAGCGGUGAAAUGCGCAGAUAUCGGGAGGAACACCGGUGGCGAAGGCGGUCUCUGGGCCU
RNAcentral lists this ribosomal RNA (212 nucleotides) under uncultured bacterium. Its description in RNAcentral is "partial 16S ribosomal RNA". It matches the Rfam family "Bacterial small subunit ribosomal RNA", at positions 524 to 736 of the family's 1533-position model. The record is from RNAcentral.